This 253-nucleotide ribosomal RNA is filed under the name uncultured bacterium. RNAcentral describes it as "partial 16S ribosomal RNA". It matches the Rfam family "Bacterial small subunit ribosomal RNA", at positions 524 to 776 of the family's 1533-position model. The record is from RNAcentral.
UACAGAGAGUGCGAGCGUUAAUCGGAAUUACUGGGCGUAAAGCGCACGUAGGUGGAUGUUUAAGUUGGAUGUGAAAUCCCUGGGCUUAACCUAGGAAUUGCAUUCAAUACUGGGCGUCUAGAGUAUAGUAGAGGGAAGUGGAAUUUCUGGUGUAGCGGUGAAAUGCGUAGAUAUCAGAAGGAACAUCAGUGGCGAAGGCGGCUUCCUGGACUAAUACUGACACUUAGGUGCGAAAGCGUGGGGAGCAAACAGG